UAGGGAAUCUUCCGCAAUGGGCGAAAGCCUGACGGAGCAACGCCGCGUGAGUGAUGAAGGUCUUCGGAUCGUAAAACUCUAUUAUUAGGGAAGAACAAAUGUGUAAGUAACUAUGCACGUCUUGACGGUACCUAAUCAGAAAGCCACGGCUAACUACGUGCCAGCAGCCGCGGUAAUACGUAGGUGGCAAGCGUUAUCCGGAAUUAUUGGGCGUAAAGCGCGCGUAGGCGGUUUUUUAAGUCUGAUGUGAAAGCCCACGGCUCAACCGUGGAGGGUCAUUGGAAACUGGAAAACUUGAGUGCAGAAGAGGAAAGUGGAAUUCCAUGUGUAGCGGUGAAAUGCGCAGAGAUAUGGAGGAACACCAGUGGCGAAGGCGACUUUCUGGUCUGUAACUGACGCUGAUGUGCGAAAGCGUGGGGAUCAAACAGG
Molecule: ribosomal RNA, 429 nt
Filed under: Actinomycetes bacterium
Lineage: Bacteria; Bacillati; Actinomycetota; Actinomycetes
Also listed under: 1 other name
Description: Actinobacteria bacterium partial 16S ribosomal RNA
Rfam family: Bacterial small subunit ribosomal RNA
Source: RNAcentral